This is a long non-coding RNA of Cyprinus carpio carpio, 703 nucleotides long. The record is from Ensembl. NCBI's taxonomy places the organism in Eukaryota, Metazoa, Chordata, Actinopteri, Cypriniformes, Cyprinidae.
UGUGGCCAUGUCUGGGCAGAAUCCACCAGUCAUGCAAAGAGGACCAUACACUGUAGCACUCAGCAGAAGAGGAAAGAUGGGAACAGAAAGCAAAUGGAAGAUUUUACACCUCUGCCACUGGAAAUGGUGCUGAUAAAGGAAAUGGAGGUAAGCAGCAAGAAUGAUUUUCUGAACAUUGUCAACAUAAGCUCUGUUCAUGUUCCUCCCUCUGCCUGCCGUUCUCUCUUGUUGAAGCAGCACGCCUUGCUGUGGCUGGUCAAAUGGAACCAAGUCAGGUGUUUCUGCAAGGUUUGGUCCCCUUCAACCAGCUACUGCGUCGUGAAUACAGCCAACAUAGAGCAAAGAUUAUAAGAGAGUCAUUCAGUAAAGUCUGAUAAUUAUCAUUUAAAAUGUACUAAUCCUAAGUUUUUCAUUAUUUAAUUGUCUUUUAUUUCUUCUAAAAUUCAAUAAACUAUUUUCCUUUUCAAUGUUGUGUUCAUUUUCUCCUUCUUAAUUACAAUAGUAAUUAAUUAUUCUUUAUAUAAUAAUCAUUCAGUCCCUGAGCUUGUCAUUCAUUGCCCUUGUGAAAAACAAGGGUGCUUAAUUUGUGCAAUUUCUGAAUUGUUUUGAAUGUGUACUUACAAUAGUCUGUUUAAUUAUAUUUUAUAAAUUAUUCAAUAAUUAAAUAAUUUGCGUUUUAUGUUAGAAAAAUUAAUAGUGAAAG